This 435-nucleotide ribosomal RNA is filed under the name uncultured bacterium. RNAcentral's name for it is "partial 16S ribosomal RNA". It matches the Rfam family "Bacterial small subunit ribosomal RNA", at positions 29 to 507 of the family's 1533-position model. The record is from RNAcentral.
AGCGAACGCUGGCGGCAGGCUUAACACAUGCAAGUCGAGCGGGCACUUUCGGGUGUCCGCGGCGGACGGGUGAGUAACGCGUAGGAACGUGCCCUCUGGUUCGGAAUAACUCAGGGAAACUUGAGCUAAUACCGGAUACGCCCUUUUGGGGAAAGGCUUGCUGCCGGAGGAUCGGCCCGCGUCUGAUUAGCUAGUUGGUGAGGUAACGGCUCACCAAGGCGACGAUCAGUAGCUGGUCUGAGAGGAUGAUCAGCCACACUGGGACUGAGACACGGCCCAGACUCCUACGGGAGGCAGCAGUGGGGAAUAUUGGACAAUGGGCGCAAGCCUGAUCCAGCCAUGCCGCGUGAGUGAUGAAGGCCUUAGGGUUGUAAAGCUCUUUUAUCCGGGACGAUAAUGACGGUACCGGAGGAAUAAGCCCCGGCUAACUUCGUG